RNAcentral lists this small RNA (533 nucleotides) under Pan troglodytes (chimpanzee). Its description in RNAcentral is "processed transcript". Lineage: Eukaryota; Metazoa; Chordata; Mammalia; Primates; Hominidae. The record is from RNAcentral.
ACAAAUGUGACCUUGUUCCAACCUGGGCAACAAAACGGUGGGUUGCUGUCCUCUCCCAGGAUUAUCCAACACUUGCUUUCCAUGCAAGCCUUACUAACCCGUUUGGCAAGGGAGCAUUCAUUCAGCUUCUGCGGCAGUUUGGAAAGUUGCACACUGACAAGAAACAGAUCAGUGUUGGGUUCAUUGGCUAUCCAAAUGUUGGCAAGAGCUCUGUGAUAAAUACAUUGCGUUCUAAGAAAGUUUGCAACGUGGCUCCCAUUGCAGGUGAAACAAAGGUACGUUGGGCGCAGGGUGACCUUACUUUUGCAUAUUUUCUUUUCAUAGAGAGUGAUUGUUUAGGACUUGUUGAUUUCUCUCUGCUUCUCUUGAAUGCAGACCACCAUUAGGAGUUUAGCUCACCAUAUAAUAGUUUGGAACGUAUCAGAGUUGUUUCUGCCCACUUUGAUAAGACUGAGAGUAUUUUAUAUGCCCCCGUGUGGCUUUGGCAUGUGUUAGUUAAUGUGAUUCAUAUUUAGAUCUGUUUUAAAUUAUCA